Molecule: RNA transcript, 1784 nt
Organism: Symphalangus syndactylus (siamang)
Lineage: Eukaryota; Metazoa; Chordata; Mammalia; Primates; Hylobatidae
Gene: CRADD
Gene name: CARD and death domain containing adaptor protein
Source: RefSeq, a predicted model, not a curated record
GAUGGUGUCAACACUUCCUGUUUAGGGUUUUCGCCUUUAACAAAGAUGGUGCUUAUGGGGCACGUUCCCUAACAGUCAGGAUUCCGGUUGCAGUUUUUCUCCCCCGCCCCAAAGAUACGUGGUUGCAGACGGAGAAAUGGAGGCCAGAGACAAACAAGUACUCCGCUCACUUCGCCUGGAGCUGGGUGCAGAGGUAUUGGUGGAGGGACUGGUUCUUCAGUACCUCUACCAGGAAGGAAUCUUGACAGAAAACCAUGUUCAAGAAAUCAAUGCUCAAACCACAGGCCUCCGGAAAACAAUGCUCCUGCUGGAUAUCCUACCUUCCAGGGGCCCUAAAGCAUUUGAUGCAUUCCUAGAUUCCCUACAGGAGUUUCCCUGGGUCAGGGAGAAGCUGAAGAAGGCAAGGGAAGAGGUCAUGACCGACCUGCCUGCAGCUUCUAGAAGAUGAAUCAAUUUUGUGAGGACUUGGCCAAUAUCAAGGUCUUCAGCACGACUCAUCAGCUCGUUGCUAAUCCGAGGACAACAAAUGCCUACAAAUGCUGGUGUUGGCCGUGAUCCUUAUGAUGGAGGGGAAAGGAAUCACCAAUUUUCUACUCCAUCCCACGGAACAACUUAGAGAUGACCUAAGGCCUCGUUACCUGUGUGGAGUAACUGGGAAUUGGAAGAGAUAAAGAAACGGACAUCCCUAGGGAAUGAAGCCUAGGUCCUCGUGCCCCCCCGAAUCUGGUGCUUUUUCCUCCGUGGCACUGUGGAGGGGUUGUUGAGUAUGUGUUCCCUCUGAGGCUGAUUGGAACCUUCCUCUUCCCCAACUGAGUGAGACGCAGCUCCUGGACAGCCUUUAUGCAGUCACUUGUGUGCUCUGGUGGAUUCUCAUAACUGCGGGAAGAUGUGAAGUGCAGCUGGACCAUGAGGACAACUGAAUUGGGAACUUACAUUCUGCCAGUAGACUUUCUCCCCAUCUCUCAUCUGCCACUCCAUGCUUCAUUCUCUUAAAAUGAUCGCUUUAACAGGUACAGAGACUGCACAGAAUCUCCCAGAAGACCUUAGUCAAUGCAGAAUUAAAUGGAAAAAUUCUACUUUUGUCAAAGGUGAAAAAUCUGGCUUUCCUUACAUGCAGAACCUCUGGAGACAUCAACAUGGUCUGUAUGUAAAAAAGCCUCACCUGAUAGACUGUCAAUCACAGAAGUAAUAAAGGAAAGAAAGAAGAGAGGCAGCUGUAUUUUAUUUUAAUAUAAUUACUUUUUUUGCUUUCCUAAUACGACAAUGUGAACAUACAUUGGGCUGUUUCUCAGUGACAAAACUGGCUACCAUGGCAAUAAAUGCUCUUUACUUAGUUCUGGGUUUUUAUAAGAUGUUUGUCACUGAAAGAACAAUGUGGUGUGUAAAAUCAACCUCUUUCUAAAAUAGGUGAAAAAUAACCGAGUUGCAAACUUUAAAACGCUUAAGAGUAUGCACCUGAUGACAGUAGUGAGUUGAUUGGAGGUCCCCCUCCCCAAAUAUGCCCAUGUCGUAAUUCCCAGAACUUGUGAAUGUGUCCUCUGAAAGAAGGGUCUUGGAAGAUGUAAUUAAAUUAAGGAUCUUAAGGUGAGAAGGCCAUGCUGGAUUAUUUGAGUCUGCCCUAAAUACCAUGACAAGUGUCCUUAUAGGAGACACACAGAGGAAACCCACAGAAGAGGAAGAGGCGAUGCGACCACAGAGGCAGGGGUUGGAGUGGUGUGGCCACCAGGUUCUGGAAGAAACCAAGAACAGAUUCCCCAGAGAGCCCCUGGAGGGAGUGUGGCCCU